RNAcentral lists this ribosomal RNA (251 nucleotides) under uncultured bacterium. Its description in RNAcentral is "partial 16S ribosomal RNA". It matches the Rfam family "Bacterial small subunit ribosomal RNA", at positions 28 to 268 of the family's 1533-position model. The record is from RNAcentral.
GAUGAACGCUAGCUACAGGCCUAACACAUGCAAGUCGAGGGGCAGCGGGAAGGAAGCUGCUUUCUUCGCCGGCGACCGGCGCACGGGUGCGUAACGCGUAUCGAACCUACCCUUUACUCGGGAACAGCCUUGCGAAAGCAAGAUUAAUGCCCGAUGUUCCGCGUUUUGCUUGCAUGGCAAAUUCGGCAAAGAUUUAUUGGUAAAGGAUGGCGAUGCGUCCCAUUAGUUAGUUGGCGGGGUAACGGGCCCGA